This 253-nucleotide ribosomal RNA is filed under the name uncultured bacterium. Its description in RNAcentral is "partial 16S ribosomal RNA". It matches the Rfam family "Bacterial small subunit ribosomal RNA", at positions 524 to 776 of the family's 1533-position model. The record is from RNAcentral.
UACAGAGGUCUCGAGCGUUAGGCGGAAUCACUGGGCUUAAAGCGUGUGUAGGCGGGUCGUUAAGUGCCUUGUGAAAUCCCAUGGCUCAACCAUGGAACUGCUGGGCAUACUGGCGAUCUUGUGCCACCUAGGGGCGAGCGGAACAGAUGGUGGAGCGGUGAGAUGCGUAGAUAUCAUCUGGAACGCCAAUGGUGAAAACAGCUCGCUGGGGGUGUGCAGACGCUGAGACACGAAAGCCAGGGGAGCGAACGGG